AAAAUAGCAACGCAAGUCCAAACCUCAAAAAUAGUUGUUGAAAAAAACCUAAAAUUUUAAAAACAAAAGUACAAAAUUGUUUUUACAAGUGUCAACACUCACAUACAACAUACAAGGGAGCAAAAUCAUGGUGCUAUCCACCAGUGAUAGACUUGAUUCAUUAAUUACUAAGGGCAGUUGGAUGCAAACACAAGUACUAUCCACUGAUGAUAGACAUGAUUCAUUAAUUACUAUGUCUUCUUAAUAUAGUAGAGCUAUGAAAAACGUCACAAGGUCCUCAAUUCAAGAAGGUUUGAAAAUAAACAUAUAUAAUUCACGCACAAAUGUGGCGUCAUUAACUGAACCUUCAGUCACAAAAAUGCAACAGAUGCAAAGUACAGAGGUUCACCCAAAAACAAUGCAAUUGAUUUUCCUGAAGUUUACGGGAGCCAAGUACACAGAAGGUAACUAAGCCCUGCUUUUUUAAAUCAGGUUUCAAAAAUUGAAAAAACUUAAACAUGACCAAAUGUAGCAUCAUUAACUGAACCUUAAUUCACAAAAAUGCAACAGAUGCAAAGUACAGAGGUUCACCCAAAAACAAUGCAGCUGAUUUUCCUGAAGUUUAGGGGGGCCAAGUUCACAAAAGGUAACUAAGCCCUGCUUU
RNAcentral lists this long non-coding RNA (643 nucleotides) under Malus domestica (apple). RNAcentral's name for it is "long non-coding RNA (MDOM_LNC011879)". Lineage: Eukaryota; Viridiplantae; Streptophyta; Magnoliopsida; Rosales; Rosaceae. The record is from RNAcentral.